UCCAAUAGACAAUAACCCAUCAGAUUUCCUCUUCCCAAAACCCUACAUCUAUUUUAUAUCUCAUUUCUCUCAUGCAAGAGAGGCCAACCAUUCCAACAUUGAAAACACCCCAAGAAGAACAUAAAUCCUAAUUCCUAAAAGCUAAGAAUGGCAACCGUUACCAGAACCUAACGACCUAAUUCCAAAAAGCUUCAGCGACACUCCAAAAUUAGAGACUCUCGUCUCUCUAUUAUACACACUGGCAGAUUUCCCUCCCCACCUUCUAAAUUUAUUUUCUUUGUGUUUUCAAUUGGAAAAGAAACACGUACACAGUAAUAUACACAAGAGAAAGAGAACCAGCCAUCCCUCUACGCCUCUCUCUCUUCUUUCUUUCGCUGUUGUUACAUCCCCGGAAACGGCCCAAAUCCGGCAACCUCUAUAGAAAACGACUAUGUCUAGCCAUAGAGAAAUCAGAUCCGGCUGGUUUUUUAAUUUUUUGGCAAAUUUGUCCGUCCAAGGCCUUGUUCGCAGUUCCGGUUCUGGGUCCGGUGCUUUUGUUGGGUUGCGAGUUUCCCCUUCAUUUUGUACAUUCUUGAUCUUGUUGAAUCAGUUUUGGAAAGAAAAUUCUCAAAGAAAUUGAACAUGUAUUGAUCGAUCGAGAGGGUUCUGUUUUUCAGAAUUAUAGCUUCAAUUGAGGUAAGUUAAUAGAUUCUUCUCUAUUUUAGAAAUGGUUUUUACAUCUAGUAGAAAGAUAUUUUGAUUUUCCUUUUCUCUUCUCUUGCCCUUUUGUUAUCUACUUAGAAAAGAGAGGAAUCAAGUUUAAAUUAUAUGACCUAUACUUGUAUAGAUAUGGUUUUUCACGAGAAAAAUGAUUUAAAUCAACAAGUCUUAAAGAAAAGUUAUGGUCAAUUCAUGAUAGUUGUAAAUCUCCAGUUUUGGUUGAGGUAUUUACUAAAAAUUUAGUAGUGAUUGCUCCUUUAGCAUUGGGAAAAUUGGGAGUGGCUUCCAUUUCUAUUUAUAAAACUACAAACUAUUUAGACGUGUCUGUGGUGGGGGAAGACAGCAAGAAUAAAAAUGAAAUUUAUCGUUAAUUAUUCGAAAUAGUUAGUUGCUUUAGGGGUGUAAUAAAUUAUCGUGACUAUAGGUACGGUUUUCGUGACAAGUUCACGAUACGUAAUCCCCAAUUCGAGUGUGUAUUUCACGUGACUCGGCCAUAAUUUCGAAUAAUAAUAAAAAUAAACAUAUCGUAAAUCGCGGAUGCAUUUCAUGUGGCGUGGUUUGCAACGUGUACCAAAAUAACGAGUGCGCGACAUCGCAACUUGUUCAAAAAUUCGAUAAAUACUAAAAGCGGUCAAAUCAUUAAAAGCGGUUAGAAAGUUAAAAAUGCACAAUAUGUUUUGAACAUGUAAUAAAUCAGAUAAUUAGGCCAAUUAUUGAUAGUUGAGCGACCAUGCUAAAACCACAGAACUCGGGAGUGCCUCACACCUUCUCCUAGGUUUAUAGAAUUCCUUACCCGGUCUUCAGUGUUCGCGGACCAAAAAUAGAGUCAAUUUCCUUGAUUUAGGAUUUUAAAAUAAACCGGUGACUUGGGACACCAUAAAUUAUUCCAAGUAGCGACUUCGAAUCAAAUAAAUAAUCUCAUUUCGAUUAUUGUUACUUUAAUUGAAAAAACUCCCUAUCCCCCUCGAGAAAAAGGAGGUGUGAUAGACAAAUAAAGUCAUAUCCUAAGGGUUAUUCCCUCAACAAGAUUAGGCAACAUACUUACCUCAUAUGUACUAGCCAUCAAUCGUAGAUCGCGCAAAAACCUCGCUCUAUCCCUCCAAUCAUGCAAAUCCGAGCCAUUCAUCACCCAAUAAAGUCAACAAUGCUAUAGGAAGUGAUCAACAACAAUAACAACCUAGUAUAAUCUCACAAGUGGAGUCUAAGUAAGGUAGUGUGUAUACAGACCUUACUUCUACCCUGGUGGGGUAGAGAGGCUAUUUUUCGAUAGGCCAUCGGCUCAAGAAGAUGAAAAAUGACAAUAGAACAGUAACACCAACAGGGAUCAGAAAGAUAAUACCAGCAAUCUAAGAACUAGAAAAAUAGAUGGAAAAAGCAAUACCAAUAACUUGUAACAAUGACGAGGUACUAGGAAAUUGGAGCAGAAAAAUAGUGUGAACACAACAUGAACCACUAGCAUUCUAAGUCAAUGCACUAUCAGACUAGCCUUACACCCAGUACAGAGUAGAAAAAUUCUCAACUAGCUCCUAACCUUUAACCCUAAUGCUUGACCUCCUCACCUUCCUAUCAAGGGUCAAGUCCUUCAUAAGCUGAAGUCGUGCCAUGUCCUACCUGAUCAUCUUUCCCCAAUACGUCUUAGCCAACACUCUAUCUCUACUCAUACCGGCCAAGACUAACCACUCACACCUCUUUACUGGGGUAUCUAGGCUUUUCCUAUGCACAUGCCCAAACCAUCUAAGCCUCACUUCCGGCAUUUUGUCUUCCAUGGGGGCCACGCUCACCUUCCCCCAAAUAUCUUCAUUUCUAAUCUUUUCCAACCUAGUGUGCCUACACAUCCAUCUCAACAUCCUCAUUUCUAUUACUUUCAUCUUCUGGAUAAGGAAAUUCUUGAAUGGGCAAUACUCUGUCUCAUACAACAUGGCCAGUCUAACCACUCCUCUAUAGAAAUUACUUUUAAGUUUUUGUGGCAUAUUCUUCUCACACAAGACAUGAUAUGCUAACCUCUAUUUCAUCCACCCCGUCCUUAUAUAGUGCGUGAAAUCCUCAUCAAUCUCCCUAUCCCCCUAGAUAACUGACCCAAGAUACUUAAAACUUCUUCUUUGGGGGAUGACUUGUGAAUCAAGUCUCACAUCCAUGUCCGCUUCCCCUGCCACAUUGUUGAACUUGCACUUCAAGUAUUCUGUCUUUGUCCUGCUCAACAUGAAACCUUUAGACUCAAGGGCCUGUCUCCAAACCUCCAACAUCUUGUUAACAUGCUCCAUGGCACCUGAUACGCUCAAAUUACACUUAAAUUAAUAGUGUAAGGCGGUGGUGUCAAAUAUAAUAACCCAACAAGGUUGGGAUCAAAUCCCACAAGGAAUAGGUGUGAAAAGAUUACUUUAAUAGUAUGAAACUUGACUUGAGUCGUAAUUAUGCUCCUUUAGCUUAAAAAGAGAAUGAUAUAAUUGUGAAUUAACAAGAUAACUAUUUUUUGUGAGAAUAAAACGUCAUGUUAUCGGUAUUGAUAUGAUAUAUUUCUAAUUUAAGGUCAUUUGAUAUGCAAAUGGUUUCUAAAUGACUGUCCAAUAUUUCCCAAUAGUUGGGUAGUAUUUUCUCUUUAUGAUUUUUCCAAAUAUAAAAGAGUUACAAUUAAGAAUAACCAAUUUAUGCCAAGUAGAACCCACGUAUUUCUAAGUGAUUCUAUUAAACAAGGUUUAAAGCUUUGAGUUCUUAAUAUUCACUUCUACCAAACCCUAACCCACUUUUUCAAGUAAAGGUGAAGUAAAAUGGAAUGAGUCAAUGUUUGCAACCACCGGCAAUAAAUAAAGCAUAAGAAAUGAAUANNNNNNNNNNNNNNNNNNNNNNNNNNNNNNNNNNNNNNNNNNNNNNNNNNNNNNNNNNNNNNNNNNNNNNNNNNNNNNNNNNNNNNNNNNNNNNNNNNNNNNNNNNNNNNNNNNNNNNNNNNNNNNNNNNNNNNNNNNNNNNNNNNNNNNNNNNNNNNNNNNNNNNNNNNNNNNNNNNNNNNNNNNNNNNNNNNNNNNNNNNNNNNNNNNNNNNNNNNNNNNNNNNNNNNNNNNNNNNNNNNNNNNNNNNNNNNNNNNNNNNNNNNNNNNNNNNNNNNNNNNNNNNNNNNNNNNNNNNNNNNNNNNNNNNNNNNUAGUGGACUAAUAUCGAGGUCAAGAUUGGACAAAAUUACCCCUGCAGAGCCCUUCUGCGACCGCAUAAUGGUGGCAUACCAUGUAUGUGGUCCGCAUAAUUGAAACAGGCAUUGCAUAUUGCAGGUCUCGGAGCCCAGUUCUCCAUAUCAUUCCGGUUAUGCGGUCCGCAUAGCAAUUAUGCGACCGCAGACUUCAUCGCAAAAGUGUUAAGCCAAAUUUACAGUUGCGAUUGUGCAGUCAUUAUGCGGUCCGCAGAAGUUUUAUGUGACUGCAUAAUGGAAUGCAUAAUCUUCUCUUCAGUUCCCAAAAGAACUACUCCAGUCUGCGGUGGGUUUGCGGCCCGCACAUCACUUCUGCGGUCGCAGACCUGCCGCAUUUCUGCCCUUUUAUGGAUUCUUGAUUUCUUUUUCAUGUUUUUGGUUCUUCAAGUCUCGUGCACUACAAAACACCAAAAAUUAAUAAGACUUAACUAAAAAUGCUUUGAAAGAUGAGCUAAUGUCUAUGUAAUUGGUAUCAAAAGUGUCGUAAUUCUACGGCACAUCAGCGCCUACCAUUUAUUAUGAUGUGUCAGUAUGUCCAUCGCCAAUGCAAAUAAGAACGGGCCGAGCAUAUAUCCUUAGUGUAACCCCAUAACAGCCGAAAAAUUCUUUGAGUCCCCUCCUGCUAUCCUAACUAGAGUCUUAGCUCCAUCAUACAUGUUCUUAAUCCCCCUAAUGUACGCUACCGGAACACCUUUUACCUCCAGGAAUCUCAAAAGAACCUGCCUAGGGACCUUAUCAUAUGCUUUCUCUAGGUCAAUAAACACCAUGUGAAAAUCUUACUUCCUAUCCGUGUAAUGUUCCACCAACCUCCUAAUAAGAUGGAUAGCUUCAAUAGUUGAACGACCAUGCAAGAAUCUAAACUGCUUCUCAGAUAUAGACACCGACCUCCACACCCUCACCUCCACCACCCUUUCCCAAACUUUCAUAGUAUGACUAAGCAACUUGAUGUCCCUAUACUUGUUACAAUUCUGGUCAUCACCUUUGUUUGUACAACGAGAUCAUUGUACUCACCUUAAUUCAUCUAGCUUCGUCCUAAAAAUAAUGUUAAAAAGUCCAGUCAGUCACUCCAAGCCUGCUCUACCCGAAUACCUCCAAAAUUCUACCGAAAUUUCAUCUAGCUCAGUCGCUCUACCCCUGCUCAUCUUACGCAUAUCACCCACGACUUCUCAACAUUAAUGUGCCUACAGUACCUAAGAUCUCGGUGACUCUUGGAGUACUCCUAUUCACCAUGCACAAUUUCUCUAUCCCCAUCUUCAUUCAGAAGUAUAUAAAAGUAAGUGUGCCAUCUUCACUUAAUCUGAGCCUCUUCCAUUAAAACUCUACCUUCCUCGUCUUUGAUGCACCUCACUUGGUCCAGAUCAUGAGCCUUCUCUCUCUCACCUUGGUCAACUGGAAUAACUUUGUGUCCCCGCAUUUGUCCCCUAGUUCUUUAUAUAAGUGACCAAACGUUGUAGGCUUAACCUCCGUGACUGCUAACUUCACCUCCUUCCUAGCCUUUUUAUAUCUUUUUAUGUUCGCUCUCCUCUCCUUCUCAUCUAUGGUCUCCACUACUUCAGGUAAGUUGCUUUCUUUUCUUCCACUUUUCCCUGGACCUCUGCAUUCCACCACUAGUCUCCUCUGUGACCGCUAGAGUAACCUUUCGAGACCCCUAACAUCUCUCUUGUAGCCUCUCUAAUACAGUUCAUUCUUACCUAUCCACCAAAAUACCCACUCCAUUCUUACCCUUCAUGCUUCCUGAGUACCACAAUUUAAACCCGUCUGGAUCUCUCACCUUUGUUCCUACCCACCUAAUCUCCUAGACAAAAGCUAUGUUGACCUUCCUCUUCUGGAGAAUCUUUGCCAACUCUAUAGACUUACCGUCAACUUCCCUAUGUUCCACGACCUAAUUCUCAACCUAUAGGCUACUAUGUUUCCCUUGCCCCUGUCCUACCCCUAUUCCCUGCCCCAACCCCCAUCCUGCCAGAGGACAUGACCUUAUUCUACCAUCAUAAACCACAUCCACUAUAACCUAUGGUAAACUAGGGUAAUUUCAACCCAAAAUAAUCAAUGGAACAAACUUGAAGAAAACAAGCUGCAACUAUAGGCACACUAGUAGUAUGUCUAAACCAGUACAAACUAAUAUGACAAUAAUUUAACUAACACAAGAGAAAGGUAUACAAGAAGGCAGGAGGUACCAACUCUCGAGAGUAGAACCUGGAAUGUAGUCUUGGUUUACACCCGAAGUUGCGGAACCUGACGCAUUCACUUCCAACUUCCUACCAUCCCUUGCUAACGCCAAUCGGAGAUGUUCCACACUACUUGCAUGUGCGCCUCCCGCUCGUCUCCAAAACCCGCGGAUAACAACCUAAAAACACAACAAAACAACCACGAAACCAAAAGGCUAGGAGGGGGGCUGUCACUGCUAUGAUUAGUGACACAGACUCUAUGAUAGCACUGGCUAUCCAUUUUGAUGUCAUCGAAGCAAACAACUAUUGCCGACAAAGGCAGUGAAGAUGGACAAAAAAAUAUAACAAAAGCGAAAGAGAGGGGCGACAUAAGAAGAAAGAGGGGAAGAGGGUUAGAGGAGGCACAAAAGGAAGGGAAAAGGGGUCAUCGGCUAGAACUGUUGUUGGCGGAAGACAACCCCUACUAGGGUUUAUAAAAGCCAAGGGAAGAGAGAAGUGAGAGGAGAGAGAAAUGAGGAGAGACAAGAGAGGGAGAGGGGAGGGAUGGGCCUACCUGGGUGGCUUAGUGGACGCCAGCACCGAUAAGAACGUCCGUGGAGAUUUUACCCUUGGUCGAAGAGAAGAGAAUAGAGAGUUGAAAAGAGAGAGAGAGGGAGAGAGAGAGAGAGAGAUAGAGGAUGAGUUUUGGUUCUGCUAUAGGAAGAGAUCCCAAUCCAUAAAACUUUGAUCUUUGAACAACAACAACAAUAACAUACCAGUAGUGCGUAUGCAGACAUUACCCCUACCUGGUGAUAGAGAGGCUGACCCUCGACUCAAGAAAAGGUAAAAAGUAAGAAAAGGGAAUAAGAAGAAAGAGAAAGAAGAAAGAAAGAAGAGGAAGACAAAAGUCGAUAAGGAAAAAGGGGAAAAAACGAAAGCCAGAAAAAAGUAGCAUGAAAUAGUAACAAUAGAGAAAUAAUAUACACGAAGCUAACGAAACAACAGGAAAAUAAUAGAGAUCAAAGAAUAUGAAAAUACAAUAGCGCUACUAAUAAUACUGGUAAUAAAAGGGGUACUCUUGACUACCUACUAGCUUUCUACCCUAAUUCUUAACCUCCAAACCCUUCUAUCAUGGGUCAUAUUUUCAAUAAGCUAAAGCAGUGCCAUGUUCUGCCUAAUCACGUCUUCUCAAUACUUCUUUGGCCUAUCUCUACCUCUUCUUAGACCCUCUAUGGCCAACCUAACAACUCCAGUAGGAGCAUCUGUACUUCUACUUUUCAUGUGCCCGAACUAUCUCAGCCUCGACUCCCGCAUCUUAUCCUCCAUAGGGGCCUGCAUGCCCGAAAUCCGGAACCAAUACCAAAAUUUGAUAACGCAUAACCUGUCGAGUCCAAAUAUAUAAUUAAUUUCAAAAAUCGAGUCCAAAUCGGUACUCAAUCUCCAAAUACACUCUCUUAAAGUGUAGACAAAAUUUCAAACUCUUCUCAAAAUUUUAUAUUUUGGGUGUUAAUAAUUAAUAUAUGUUCUUGAAAUAUUAUCAUAAAAUAAGUAAAUAUUAUUUAUCCCUUAAUCUUGUAUAAAAUUCUCCAAGCAAAAUCACCCAUCACCAAUAACAAGGGCUUAAAAUAUGAAAGAACGGGUAAAAAUCCCAGAAUAUAAUACUUAUAAAGUCUGCCCAGGGGUAACGCGGUCGUCCAAGUCUCACGUUUGCGAAGAACAAACAACCUUAGUCCCAAAAAAUCCUUCGCAAACAUGAAAGUUCUUUGGCGAAUGCGAAGCACCAACAUGCCAAUCCUACGCGAAUGCAAGCUCAGCUUCGCGACCGCAAAGGCCAACUCCCCUCCUGACUCACCUACCACGCGAAUGCAAAGCUUAUCCGACGGACACGAUGACUAACCAAUCCACACCCUAAACAAAUGUGAGUCCCUGAUGCAAAUGUGAAGUACAUAAAUACCGUUGCCAGAAACUUUCAUCGUGAACAUGAUAGCAUCCUCCCAAACGCGAUGAACACUAGACAGCAGCAAAGCCUAAUGCUCCAAACUCAUGGAAGUGGACCGAAACUAGCCGGAGACAAAUCCGAGUCCCUUGGGACCCCAUCCAAUCAUACCAAUAAGUUCAAAUACAUUUUCCAAACUUACCCAAAGGCUCAAAGCACCACAAUUUAUAUCAACACCAAGAACGGGGAUCGAAUCGUUCUCUUAAUAUUCAAACCUUCAAACUACGCCAAAUGUGUCUGCGUCACACUUAAACAUUUCGGAUCACAACCGAACUUUGCACACAAGUUCCAAUUAACCAAAGGAACCUACAUAAAAUCUUAACACCACAAUAGGAGUCUAAUAAUACUAAGUCAACUUCUGGUCAAACCUAUGAACUCUCCAAUUAUUCAAAUUGCCAACUUUCAACAAAUAGCGCCAAAACUUUCUAAGAAUGUUCAAAUCCAAAUCCGAACAUACAUCAAGUACAAAAUCGCCAUACAAACCUAUUGAAACUAUCAAAUCUUGAUUCCGAGGUUGUUCACUUCCGUGGUAGAAUGACCCGGUAUGAACCUGAACCGGUUGUCAGAUAUAGACACCGUCCUACUCACCCUCGCUUCUACCAUCCUCUCCAAAAGAUUUAUGGUAUGACUUAGUAAUUUGAUACCCCUAUAGUUGUUGCAACUCUGGAUAUCACAUUUGUUCUUGUACAACAGAACCACCAUACUCCACCUCCACUUAUCCGGCAAAAGUCAAACCUUGGUAAACUCUUCCAACAUAAAGCUUUCAAAUUGAGAAUCACUCUAUCAAAUCCAUCCCGACCACUCGAAAAUAAAUACCAACUAUACAUGUAAGUCAUAAUUCACAUAUAAAAUCACUCAAAGUCUCUAAUCAUAAAACAAAAUACUAGAAUUCAAAACAAUAGACCAGGCCGUUACAUUAGUUUUGCAAACUCUUUAUAUAAAGAUUUAUUGGUAGCACCAAAAAUAAGUCAUCAAUAUAUAUUUGGGCAAUUAGUAGAUAUUUGAAUUUUGGAAACUGAAGUGUGAAAAUUAAGUAACACAAUAAUUUUACGUAGAAAACCUCCUUGGCCAAGGAAGUAAAACCCAUGACCUAUCCUUAUAGGAUUUGCCUCAAAACUUCACUAACUUCAGAGAGAGAUUUUAGGUUAUAACUCAGUAACCAAACGGACUAACUCUAGUACCUUAACCCCUACAAUCAACUCAUUUUAGCUACCAUUUUCCAAAUUGUAAACUUCAGUCUGUAAAGCUAAACAAACUAUUUUGAAUUAAUCACUUAUAAUUACACUGCUCAAUAAGCAGAAUACUCAAGCCUAAACAACUAAAGAACUUCAGCAACUUUAUCUUCAGGAUCUGGUUCUUCAGUUGAGCAACUUGAAUCUUUUAAAGCUCAUUUUUCCUAUAAUUGCUAUUUGCCAAGAAUAAUCUCAAUGUUUGUGCGAAAUAGCGAUCAUUACUAGAAAUCCAGUAAAUACCGACAAAAAACCGACCAAUUUUGGUCGGUUAUGGCCAAUUAUCAACAAAAAUGCGACCAAAUAUGCUUGGACGAUAUUUUGAUGGUCGUUUUAAUAUACCGACCAAAGUUGGUCGGAAAUUACCGACAAAUGUUGGUCGGUCAAUUAAAUUCAAAAAACAAUAUUGCAAAAAAAAAAAACGACCAAAGUUGUUCGGUAUUUUCCGAUCAAAGUUGGUCGGUAUUUUAAUUAUGUAAUCAAAAGAUUCACCAUCUGAAAAUCGAAUAGGGGUGUAUACUGUGACAUGAUACUAUUCUACCACUAGACCAUUUGUGCAUUUUAUUUUUAGAUUGUCUUAUUUAUUGUUUAUACUCUUUAAUUGUAUUUUCACACGAAAAUAACCGACCAAAUUUGGCCGGUUUUAUUAAAAAUAAAAUUAUUGACCAAAGUUGGUCGGUUUUUUAAUAUUAAUUUUUAUCUAUUUUAAUUGCAAAAGCCGACCAAAGUUGGUCGAUUUCUUGAAAAAUAAAUUUCGCGGGACUCAAAAAUAAUUUUUCGCAUUUUUGCGCUAAAGAAAACCGAUCAAAAUUGGUCGGUUUUAUAAAAAAAAAAAAUUAAAAUAUUUUGAAAAAUUGACCAACUUUGAUCGGUUUUUGCCGAAUUUCUAAUAGUGGGUAAUCUUUAAUAAUUGUAAUGGGGCGCUUUACGUAGGAGUGAUAUUGGUCAAAUACUUUUUAAAUUUUAGUUCUAAGACCUAAAUUAAUUCGGUUACCUCUUAAGAAAAAUAAAUUAUCAAAGAAUCCUUAAAAGACUCCUUCAUAUACUUUUCCUUUUUAUGCAAGUAUAUAUUGCCAUGAUUAAUGAAUUCUAAUUGACCAUAAAUUCCUCCAAUUAUUUUCAUACUCUAGUCCACAAAAUAAGUCCUUCAAGAAAUUUUGCUUGCAUUAGGAAUUAGCGCCCGGCUUGUGAUCAGCGUCUUCAUGUAAUCUUGUUCUUUCAACAUCUUACCCGAUUAUUUUGACAUUUGCAUGACACAUCUUCAAUCAUAUAUAUCAUCACAAUAAAUAUCUUCAAAAGACCUGGUUCUUUGAUAAUUUUUUGUUAAUCAUCAAUACCAACUUUAACUUCAGAUCAACAACAGAGUUCAAGAAAAGUGAGGGGAACUUUUAAAUCUUAUGGUCUUAAAUUGAAGAUGUGGGUAAUAUACCUUUGAAUAUUGUGAUCUUAAUUAAACCAUGUGGAAUCUUGGAGUUAAGGAGUUACUACCAAACAUAAAAAGAUACUCCCUCUGUUUCAAUUUAUGUGAACUCAUUUGACUGGGCACGAAAUUUAAGAAAAGAGAGAAGACUUUUGAACUUGUGGUGUAAAAUAAAGCACAUAUAUAUUCUGUGAUUAUAAAUCAUUAAAUAAAGGUAAAUUAUUUUCAAAUAGGAAAAAAAGUCAUUCUUUUUGGCACGGAUUAAAAUUCACAUAAAUUAAAAUCGAGGGAGUACAUUCUUUUUAAACAUGCUAAAAAGAAAAGUAUGACACAUAAAUUAGAAGCCUAGGGAAUACGUGAUUGCCCCGUAGAUCCCAUCUUCAUUAAAGUAUUGUAAAUACUUCGCUGAUUAUAUAUGUGGAAUCCACUUUAAAGGUAUACUCCAUUCUAAAAUCUCAAUAAUCAGAUUCAUUAAAAACCUUUGUUGUAAGACUAAAUUCACUAGAUAAGGCUAGUACAUAAUCACCGAAAAUUCAUUCGCUACUAGGAUCAUUCCUGAAUAUUUUUAACCACUAAGCAGCAAGAUAUGAGUUUGCUAGGAAAGUGGUAGUAGUAUUCGUUGUAUAUAGGAUGCGAACUGAACUAUCUUUGCCGGAAAUAUAUAUAUAUAGUCUUGAGUAGUAUUCUUAGGACCCGUCUGGCCAUAGAUUUUGCCAAAAUAAAUAUGGGUUUUAUUUGGGAAACACAUGUUUGACCAAAGAUAUUGCCUACAUUUUGGCCAAAUCCCAAAAUCAGCUCAAUAGUGCAGGGCUCAUGCCCAUGUUGUCCAGCCAAAGGCCAAGCGGCCUAAUCCUAUUCUCUUUUAGUUUCCAUUCCUAUUCGGAAUUGAAUUCAGUGUUUAUUCCUAUUUUGAGUGAGUUUUGGCUUUAAAAGAAAGCACCACUCAUGAUCUAUAAAUAGGACAACCUUGGAGAAUUAUUCUAUGCUCAUUGGCGUAGAAGUCUUUGAAAGACUUAAGCACAUAAGAGUGGUUUUUGAGAGAGUUUUCAUCAAGAGAGAAGAGAGAAGAAAAGUAUUUGUGGUGAUGCAGAUUUUUAUUCCGAUCAGCCAACUUCAAAUUGUAUUUUCGAUUCGUUAACCGUUGGAUCGGGCUGAAAUUUUGAUUGAGUAUUCGUAAUAUCUUGAUCUUUGAUUUGAACAGUAAAGAUCGGAUUUAGAGGCUCGUAGCAUCUGAUUUUGAGCCUCGAACAACAGCUUCAUUUUUGUGGAUUCUCCUCUUUCUUCAAUUGAUUUGUUGUUGCUAUUGUUGCUCCAUAUUUGGCACUUGUCAUAUAGCCAAUUUGAAAAACUUUUAUAACCUUCUUAUUGUUAUAGUGGAGCUUUUUGGAUCUUUGUGAUCCCGUGGUUUUUACCUUUGAUUUGAAAGGUUUUCCACAUUAAAAUUUGGUGUUCUUUAUCUCCUUUAUUUUCGAGUUUGCCCCUUCCUCGACAUAACAGUGGUAUCAGAGCCUUGGUUAUUUAUCCGAGUUGUUACGGAAUGGAAGUGAAUAUGAGCAAGAUGGUAUGUUUAAAUGGGAAAAACUAUAAUGUUUGGAGAAGCAAGAUGAAAGAUUUGUUGUUCGUGNNNNNNNNNNAUUUUUGCAGCUCAUAAACCCGAGAGUGUAUCUAAUGAAGAUUUAGAUUUCGAGCACCAACAAGUAUGUGGGUACAUACGCCAAUGGGUUGAAGAUAAUGUUCGCAACCAUAUUGUUAACGAGACACAUGCGAGAUCAUUGUGGGAAAAGUUAGAGGCUCGUUAUGCUUCAAAAACAGGAUUUUGAUCACAUAAAUGAUUUUUAGGGCAUCCUUGAUCACAUAAAUGAUUUUCAGUGCGUCCUUGUUCAGCUGUCUAGAAUGAGAGUUAAUUUUGAUGAUGAGAUACAAGGACUUUGGCUUCUUAAUACUCUCCCAGACUCUUGGGAAUCUCUUCGUAUUUCUUUGACAAAUUCAGCUCCUGAAGGCAUGGAAUAUGCCAAGAGUGGUGUGUUGAACGAGGAAGUAAGGAGAAAAUCUCAUGGUUCGUCCUCACAAGCAGAUAUCUUGGUUACAGAAGACCGGGGAGAGAUAGAAUAAAAGGUUUAAAGAAUAGAGGUAAAAGUAGAAGUAAGUCAAGGUCCAAAUACUAUAAUAUUAUAUGCAACCACUAUGGCAAAAAAGGACACAUCAAAAGGUUUUGCCGCAAGUUUAAUCAAGACACUAGAGAAGGAAAGAAAGCUGAAAAUAACGAGAACAAUGUUGUUGCUAUUGUUCGAGGUGACCUUCUUUUUGCUUAUGAUGAAAACGUCAUCAAUUUGGUAUCCCAUGAGACUAGCUGGAUAGUAGAUUCUAGAGAUACCUCACAUGUCACACCAAGAAAAGAUUUAUUUCUCAUCUUAUACUCAUGUUGAUUGUGGAGUGUUAAAGAUGAGCAAUUCUAGUGAAGUUAAGGUGUUUGAUGUUGGCACAGUUUGUUUGAAAACUAAUAAUGGUUCAACGUUAGUUCUUUAAGAUGUCAAGCAUGCUCCAGACUUUCCUUUCAAUUUGAUCUCCGCAAGAAGAUUAGGCGAUGAAGGUUACCAUAAUGCCCUCUUUAAUGGCCAAUGAAAGAUCACUAAGGGCUCAUUAGUAGUGGCUCGCGGAGUUAAGUCUGGUUAUUUAUAUGUGACAUAGGGCUCUAUUCUUAAUGACUCAAUAAAUUUAGUGAAAAAUGAUACUUUAUCAGAAUUGUGGUACAGAAGAUUGAGUCAUGUGAGCAAUAAGGGGAUUACAUGUUUGGCUAAGAAAAGUUUGCUUUCUAGAUUGAAACAAGCAAAGCUGAAAAGGUUUAUCCAUUGUUUAGCUGGCAAACAGAAAAGGGUUUCCUUUCAUAACCAUCCUCCCUAAAAAAAACCUGAUUUAUUGGAUCUAGUACACUCUGAUUUGUGUGGUCCUUUUAAAGUAAAGUCAAAAGGUGGUGCACUUUACUUUGUGACAUUUAUUGAUGAUAAUUCUCGUAAGCUCUAGGUGUAUCCUUUGAAAUUUAAAUGUAUUCGCACUGACAAUGGUGGUGAAUAUUAUGGUCCCUUUGAUAACUAUUGCAAGGAACAAGGAAUUCGUCAUCUGAAAACUCCGCCCAAGAUGCCUCAAUUGAAUGGUUUGGCAGAGAGGAUGAAUAAAACUCUAGUUGAGAGAGUUAGAUGAUUACUUUCAGAAGCUAAACUUUCAAAUACAUUUUGGGCGGAAGCACUUAACAUUGUUGCCUAUGUUAACAAUUUGUCUCAUGUUGUUGCUUUGGAUGGUGAUGUCCCAGACAGAGUUUGGUUUGCCAAAGAUGUUUUUUAUGAUUACCUGAGAGUUUUUGAGUGUAAAGCUUGUGUGAAUGUUCUUAAAGAUGAGAGAUCGAAGCUGAAUGUCAAAAUUAAGCAGUGCAUCUUUAUCGGUUAUAGUCAAUAUGAGUUUAGGUAUAGUUUUUAUGAUCCAGUUGACAAUAAACUUAAUAAAAGUCGUGAUGCAAUAUUCUUUGAAGACCAAACUAUUGAAGAUAUUGACAAAGCUGAGAAGAUAGAUUCUCAGAGUAAUGAGAGCUUAGUUGAUAUUGAUCCAGUUUCAAUUGCUAAGGCACCUAUUACACAUGAAGGUACCAAAGAAAAUGAUGGAGAUAGUGAUCAAGAUCAAAAUAAUCAUCAUGAUGUAGAUGUUAUGAAUGCUCCAGUUGAUGAAGUUGUGGUUGAUCAGCAACCAAUUCCUGCAUAGAUAACUACUUUGAAUGCUCCUGAAACCUCUCUUAGAAGAUCUACAAGGGAGAAGAAAAAAUACAUGCGCUAUCCUCCUGAUGAGUAUGUACUUUGACUGACAUGGGAGAAACUGAGAAUUAAGAUGAAGCCAUGAAAGAUACUCACAAAGAUCAGUGGAUCGAAGCCAUGGAAGAUGAGAUGAAGUCACUCCAUGAGAAUGGCACAUAUGAGUUAGUGAAAUUGCCAAAAAGUAAGAGAGCUUUAUCUAACAAAUGGAUAUUCAGAAUAAAACAAGAUAAUCAUACCUCUGCGCCUAGAUACAAGGCGAGGUUAGUUGUUAAAGGUUUGUCCAGAAGAAGGGAGUUGACUUUGAUGAAAUUUUCUCCCAUGUUGUGAAGAUUUCUUCUAUUCGUGUGGUUCUAGGCUUAACCGCAAGUCUAGAUUUAGAGGUUGAGCAGAUGGAUGUCAAGACUGCUUUUCUUAAUGGUGAUUUAGAUGAGGAGAUUUAUAUGGAGCAAUCUGAGGGUUUUGUAACUAAGGGAAAAGAACAUUAUGUCUGCAAAUUAAAAAGGAGCCUAUAUGGAUUGAAACAAGCUCCAAAGCAAUAGUAUUUGAAGUUUGAAUCUGUCAUACAAGAACAAGGGUACAAGAAAACUUCUUCAGACCACUGUGUAUUCUUCCAGAAGCUUUCAAAUGAUGGCUUUAUUGCUUUAUGUAGAUGACAUGCUUAUUGUUGGCAAGAAUAAAUCUAGAAUUGCAGUCCUUAAGAAGCAGUUGAGCAAAUCGUUUGCAAUGAAGGACUUGGGGCCAGUAAAGAAAAUAUCGGGCAUUCAAAUCCACCGACACAGAGAUAGAAAGAAGUUAUUUUUGUACCAAAAGCAAUACAUUGAGAAGGCACUCAAGAGGUUCAAUAUGACAGAUGCAAAAGUGGUUAGUACUCCUCUUGCUAAAUACUUCAAAUUGAGUAUUAGUCAGAGUCCAUCUAUUGAUGAAGAGAAAAAGGAGAUGUCUCGUAUUCCUUACUCUUCUGCCAUUGGUAGCUUGACGUAUGCUAUGGUUUUGCACUAGACCAGAUUUUGCACAUGUCGUUGGUACUAUUAGUAGAUUCCUUUCUAAUCCUGGAAAAGAACAUUGGGAUGCAGUAAAAUGGAUAUUAAGGUAUUUGAAAGGUACUGCAGAUUUGAAGGUGUGCUUUGGCAAUGAUAAGUCUGAACUUGUUUGUUAUACAGACUCUGAUUUAGGAGUCAAUCUUGAUAAUUCAAGAUCUACUUCCGAUUAUUUGAUCACUUUUGUAGAGGGAGUCGUUUCUUAGCAAUCUAGACUACAGAAGUGCAUAGCUCUAUCCACCACAGAAGCCAAAUAUAUUGUUGUCACAGAAGGUGCCAAGGAACUAUUAUGGAUGAAGAAGUUUAUUAAUGAUCUUGGCUUUGAGCAGCCAAGGUACAUCUUAUUUUGUGAUAAUUAGAGUGCUAUCUAUAUCACCAAGCACUCCACUUUACAUUCUAAGACCAAACAUAUAAAUAGAAAGUACCAUUGGAUAAGAAUGACCAUAGAAGAGAAAUUAUUUGAGGUUGAAAAGAUACACACUAAUGAAAAUCCUUCAGAUUAGCUGACAAAGGUGGUGGUUGCAGAUAAACAUGAAUUUUGCAGAAAAUUGGCAGGCAUGAAGCCUGUCAAUAGUUCCUCAACUUGAAGACACAUUUUGCCCCUUGGCUGGAGGGGAAGUUUGUUGGGCUCAUGCCCAUGUUGUCCAGCCAAAGACCCAAUGGCCUAAUCCCAUUCUUUUUUGAUUUCCAUUCCUAUUCGGAAUUGGAUUCGGUGUUUAUUCCUAUUUUGAGUGGGUUUUGGCUUUAAGAGAAAACACCACUCAUGAUCUAUAAAUAGGACAACCUUGGAGAAUUAUUCUAUGCUCAUUGGUAUAAGUCUUUGAAAGACUUAAGUACAUAAGAGUGGUUUUUGAGAGAGCUUUCAUCAAGAGAGAAUAGAGAAGAAAAGUAUUUGUGUUGCUGCAGAUUUUUAUUCCGAUCAGUCAACUUCAAAUUGCAUUUUCCGAUUCAUUAACCGUUGGGUCGGGCUGAAAUUUUGACUGAGUGUUCGUAGCAUCUUGUUCUUUGAUUUGAAUGGUGCAGAUCAGAUUUGGAGGCUUGUAGCAUUUGAUUUUGAGCCACGAAUAGUAGCUUCGUUUUUGUGGAUUCUCCUCUUUCUUCAAUUGAUUUGUUUUUGUUCUUGUUGCUAUUGUUGCUCCGUGUUUGACACUUGUUGUGUAGCCAAUUUAGAGAACUUUUGUAAUCCUCUUAUUGUUAUAGUUGAGCUUUUUGGAUCUUUGUGACCCUGUGGUUUUUACCUUCGAUUUGAAAGGUUUUUCACGUUAAAAUUUGGUGUUCUUUAUCUCCUUUAUUUUCGAGUUUGCCUCUUCCUCGACAUAACAAAUAGCUGGUUUUGGGCCAAAAUAUCACUAUUAUAUAUUUUUAAAAAUUGCUCCAAACUUUUAUAUUUUAUAAAAGAGCCCAUCAUUAUUAUUUUAUAACAAUGUUGCGAUAAUAUAAUGAAUUUUAUUGAUAAUGGUGUUGUUGGGUAUUUGUGAUAGUUUUUAGAACUUAUAGUUAUAAGUCAUGUUUCAUAAUAAAUUUGGGAAAUGUGUUUUAAAAACUGACACUCCAACAUAUUUUCAUCUUUAAACCAAAUUUCACCCAAAUUAAAUUUUUCAAAACAAAUUUGGAAAUGCAUGACCAAAAGCUAGCUUAAUAUCUUUAAAGAAAUUUCUUUCGCCGGUAUUAUAAGAGUGACUCGGUCCUUCUCCCCCACAAAAGUGUACCCACCAAGAGAAAAGGGACUGUAACAAAUUAGUUUUAAAAAGCCAUUAACUGCAGCUGCGUGUGCCUGACUACACCCACCGCACACUUUUGAGGGGGGGGGGGGGAGGACACUGUUCCAGCUGUCUACCUCGUUGACAAGCUCUUUAUAGAGUAGUGGGGAGAAGGAUUCUUAACCAAAUUCCAGAGGCUUUCCUCUCUGAAGUUUGGUGGACUUGUGGUCCUUACUCUCCUCUUAUGUCUUUAUUAUGCACUUUAUUCAUCUUUUGUACCUAGAUCUUGUAUCUACUUGCAUAAAUUAAUUAUGUCCCCACUCGAUUUGUUUUUUCCUUUUUCUCUUGUGGACCUAUUUAAUAAUUGUCUAGUUCUAUGGUGAAAUUCGACGGUAAGUUUACGUAAAACUUCCUAGCUGGAAUACAUGCACCACAAGUCCACAAUAUAUUGUUAUUAAAUUGUGCCCACCUGUAAAGAGUGACAACUGUAAAUUCUAGACUUAGGUGUUUUCCGCUCGAGCUAAUCAAACCAUGAAAAAUCAAUCGAUUGGAUUAAAUGCGCUUUAACAAUGUUCUAAUAAAUACUACUACUUCCUGUAUCAAAUGUUAAAUCUUUUUGGAACAUUGAUUUUGUUCCAAAAUAUUUUGAAAAUUAAGAAGCAUUUAUUUUCUAAUUUAACUUUACUCUCACUUCUCUAAUUAGUAAAAUGUUAAUUAAUGAGACAUUUAAGGAGGCAUAAUAUUCCUAUGAUUACAAUUAUUAAUACUCCUUCCGGUCCACUUUAAUUAAUUUUUUGGCUUUUUUCUUGUGGUUUAUAAUAUUUGAUAUUUUUAAGAUAUCAAGAAAGAAUAAACUUCUUUUUUUCGCCCUUGGAGUAAAGAGUCUAGGAGUAUUUGUUAUAUUUUCAACAAAUAAAAUAAGGUUAAUAUGAUCAAUUUUAAUGUUAAUUAAUACUCAAAGGUAAAUUCUUUAAUAUGUGUGAAAACAUUCAAAAAAAUUAACUAAAAUGGACCGAAGAAAAUAUCUUUCUAAGAAUUGUGUGAAAAUCUGAAGGGACAAACAAUAUAAAUAUAAAGGAGUAUAUAGGGUUCAAAACUUCAUUUAUUUCUUGCUUUUCACUAAGUUGUUAUUUGGUAGUUUUCUGCUAAGUGAUGAGAUCACUGUCAAGUGCCAACCACGUUCAGAAUUUGCUAUCAUCCUUUAUUCUGCUCUUUAAUGCCAAUCCUCCUAAUUUAAUAGAGAAAAAGAGCGGACUUAGCUUAUGCAAAAAAAAUAUAUAUAUCAUUCUUAAUCAACCAGUCAAGUGAAAGAAGCCCGUUAGCUUUAUCCUUUUCUAAAAGUAUGUAUAUAUGUAAUUCAACUUUUUACUCGAUUUGCUAAAGAAAAUAUUUUGGUUGCUUUUGGUGGAUUACUUACUACUAAGUUAAAUAGGUUAUAGGCAAACCAAAAUAAAAUCUAAAAUUAUCCUCAAAAUGGAGGACCUAGAUUUAUUGGAUGACCAAUCUACUUGCAAGAAAACUUGUUGGGACUCUUUUCUACUAACUAAUUAUCGCCCAAGUAUUGCUUACACUUGCAAUAUAGGAGGUAGUGAUAGUUGAUUCUUAUAUAUGAAGGUAUGUGUAACGACUCGAUCGGUCGUUUUGAGCUUUAGCGCGUUGUUCAGCAGUCUGAGGCCAUGAGCAGCUUCAUUUCAGGUAUUNNNNNNNNNNNNNNNNNNNNAAGAAAUUUCAUAAGUUUUGCUUGAAGUGCAUUUCAGUGUUAUCGAUGCCCGUUUGGGAUUCCGAGCCUGGGAGUAGCUCCGCCUGGUAAUUCUGGAGUUGGGAGCACGAUCGGAAGUGAAUUCGGAGGUUCGUAGGCCAUUUUGGGGUCAUUUGGCUAAAGAUAGAAAAUUGAAGGUUUUUGAGAAGUUUGACCGGAAGUGGACUUUUUGAUAUCGGGGUCGGAAACCAAUUCCGGAAGUUGGAGUAGGUCCGUAAUGUCAAAUGUGACUUGUGUGCAAAAUUGGGGUCAAUCGGACGUGAUUUGAUAGGUUUAAACAUCGAAAGUAGAAGUUUGAAAUUCUAAAGUUCAUAAAGCUUGGAUUGGAGGUUGAUUCGUGAUUUUAGCGUUGUUUGAUGUGAUUGGAGGCCUCAAGAAAGUCGGUAAUGUGUUUUGGGACUGGUUGGUAUGAUUGGUUGGGGCCUCGGGGGCCUCGGGUGGAUUUCGGAUGGUUAACGGAUCAAAUUCGAAAUUUUGGAAGGGCUGAAGUUGCUAGUAGCUGGUGUAACCGCACCUGCGAGGUUUUGGCCGCAGGUGCGGAGCCGCAGAAGCAGCCAAAUAGUCGCAGAUGCGAAUUUGGCAAAAGGGAGCUUGGACCGCAGAAGCAGAACCGCAUCUGCAGGACUAGAAGCGCAGAAGCGGAAAAGGGGAGCCUAGGGAAAACUGCAGAAGUGAUGGAUUAGCUCGCACCUGUGGAACUGCAGAACCGGUACGGUGACCGCAGGUGCGGAAAGUGCUAGAGGCAGAGAGAUGUUUUAAAAUUCGGGAUUUGGCCAUUUUCUCUCAUAUGUUCUUGGCUUGGGUGACUUUUGGGAGCGCUUCAAGAGGGAUUUUCAUCAUCAACGAUAAGGUAAGCUAAUCUCAUCCAUCUUGAGUUAAAUACAUCGAUUAUGUAUGGAUUUUAGCAUGUAAUUAGUAGAAAUUUGGGGGUUUUGGUAGAAAGACCUAGAAUUUAUAUUCUUGGAAUUUAACCAUGAUUUUGGGUAUGCAAUUAAGAGAAAGUCAUAUAUUUGAGUUCAUGAGUUCAUGGGUAAACUUUAUCUUCAAAAAAAAUCGGAAUCCGGGCACGUGGGCCCGAGGGAAAUUUUGUCAACUUUUUGAUCGGGGUAAGGAAUUGUUACGUAUGGAAUUGUAGUAAGUAAUUGAGUAUAUAUUAAUGGAUUGGUAUUAUUAUUGGCUAGUGUUGGAACUUUGUGCAUCGAUUGGAGUCUUCGGAAGAGCGUGGAAUGCCGGUUAUGGAUCUUCGGAGCGAAGUGAGUCUCCUUUCUAACCUUGUAAGAGGGAAUUGUCCCCAUAGGUGAGUUAAUUGGUAAUGUGCUCCUAUUUGGGGGGCUACGUACGCACGAGGUGAUGAGAGUCCGUGCGUAGCUACUAUUAUGCUAUUGUCCAGGUAGUCUAGGACCCAAAAGCAUGAUAUGCUUGGAUUUAUUGUAAACUUAUUGACAGCUUAAAUUGCUUAAAUCACAUCGAAUUAGUAAACGAAUUUCUAAAAGGAUUAAACUUCAUUUUCUUAAAUUGUUAAAAGAGAAUUGGCUUUAAUUUGGAUAAAUGUUCCCCGAUAAAUUCUUAAUUGGCUAUUUAAGCAUGUAUUUCUAUGUGUACCUGCGUCGCAUGUAGGAUUCGCGAGCAGGGUAUUUGUUUAUUUAUGUUGACCGCAUCGCAGGUAGUAUGCGCGAGCGGGGUAAUAGAUGCAUCUAUAGUUCGCGCCGUUCGACCCUCGGCAGUGCACAUUUUAUAUUUCUGUUGGAUCGGGCCGUACGACCUCGGCAGGAUUUGCGCAUGCUUGUAGUGCUUGCCUUGAGACUUAUUGAUAUUGAUAUUUGCUCUCCCCGACUUGAGAUAUUUGAAAACUAAUGGAUUUUGAAUCCGGAAACUUUUAAUAUAAAAAGGAACUUUCACCUAUUCGUUACUUACUUGAAGUUUCUGUCAUUCUUAAUAAAUUCAUGAUUAUUCGCAUUAAUAAUAUAUCAUUAUUUGGACCAUUAGUAAGUGUCGAAGUCGACCAUCUCGUCUCUACUUCUUUGAGAUUAGACGAGAUACUCAUUGGAUACACGUUGUUUUCGUACUCAUACUACACUUCUGUGCAUUUUUGUUGCACAAGCAUAUACGUCUCUAGUUGCCUACUGGGCAUGAAGCAUGGUUGACAUGGAGACUUAGGUGAGCUGCACUUCUCGAGGCGACCCGCAGCCAACAGAGUCUCUUUCUAUUUUCUGUAUUUAUUUUCUGUCCAAUAUUGUAUUCCGGACGGUUGUGGUAUUACAUUAUUUCCUAGAAAUUGCUCAUGCACUUGUGACACCGGGUUCUGGGAAAUUUUUUGGAUUAUUCAAUAUUUAGUUUGUUAAAGACUUCAUGGUUAUUUCUGUAAAUUUCAUUAUUCGUUAUUUAAUGUAUAAAGAAAAGAUUUUAAAGAAAUACUAAAAUUGGAAUUUAAUUAAGUAUUUUGGUUGGCUUGCCUGACAAUGGUGUUCGGUACCAUCACGACUCUUAGUGGAUUUUGGAUCGUGACAGUAUGAAGGUAGCCAGGGACGAAGAUAUGUUGGCCCAAGGAUGAUCACGCCGAAAAAUUAUACUACGUAUAAGGUAAAAUAUUAUUUGUUAUUGAUUAUAAAUAGACUUGGAACACCCUUCAAAACCCACUAGCAAUAGGUGUUCAAAAUUUGAACACUCUUUUUGAAUUUUUUGGCUUCGCCAAUGAAGGUAGUGAACUGUGCACGGUGAAAUCUGGGAGGCCGAUUUCUCCUCGACUAAAUACCUCGAAGGGUGAUCCUGGAAGCCCGGGAUCUCGAGCCUGUCACGCCCCUCAAGUUCGGCUGGUAUCCUGCCAAGGAUAAUGUCGACUAAAGCCCCGAUGAAUGCAGGGAUCUCCCGAGGAAUACACACGGGGUCGAUCAUGUCUAUUCAAGCGGCUCGACAUCAGCCCACACGUACAUCGCAAAGUUAGCCAGUUUGUUCCAUCCUAUUUCUUUUAUCACGCAACGUAUCUUGUACGAAGUUGGGGCUUCCCCCUUUCUACAAAAGGGGAGUCGCUAACACCCUGUAAAGGCAGAGCUCCAACCAUUCUACUCAAGUGCAAUAAUAUCUUCUCUCUUUUUCUCCUCUCUAACUUGCUUGCCCUCACUAGCUCGAAGCCAUUUAGCUUUAUUGCCUUCUUAUCUGUUCUUUGUUUAUCACUUGGUAUUAGCUCGAAGUCACCGUAAUAUCUAUCGUUCUCGUACUUGUUCUUCGUUAUAUAACCUAGUAGUGGCCAUAAAGAACCUUGUUUAAUUAUAUCCUCAACUGUUAUCUCAUCCCCGACUAUCCCCGAUACCUCGGACUCGACCUUGUCACCGACCCCGAGGUCCCUCAUCACUCAGACCUACAUCCGGGUAGCAGGCCCUUCGGUUCGAUUACUAUCUCGUUCUAGCUUAUAUUUCAUCAUUAAACUUUGUAUUAUUAUCAUCAACUGCUCUAACAACUUGCUCGGGAAUAGAUCACGUAUUUUUAGAAUUCCGUCUAUAAAUUUAAUUGUUGUUACCAUUUUCACGGUAAACUAUUUGGUGCCCACUGUAGGGCUAAAAAUAAUAGUGAUUAUUUUCUUGCUAGUUUCAUUGCACAAAUGCACGUUAUCUUUCACACUUUUUCUUGCCCAAGAUCCUUUGAUUUCAGGUCAAAAUGUCUGAAUCGGUAAACGGAGUCGAGAACGACAACCUCGAAAAUCACGGGGAAAAUGGCGUGGAUGUCCCGGUCACCGGAGCACCACUACAAAAUCUUGAUAACUUUCCUGGACCGAUUCUAGUGGAGGCGGACACACAGGACGCACAGCAAGUCGUCGAAACUUCUCAUACCGACAAGAGCGUACAACACAACGACCGACAGGAAGCUCAAAAAACCCCGGCCUAAGAAGAACAGGAAGUCAGUCUUCAUGUUAUUUUUAAAAUGUUGCAGGCACAACAGUUGGCCAUUGCUCAGUUGAAAAGCCAUCCGAGAACUCCCAGCAUAGCGGCACCAGAGACAGCUUCCCCCGCCGAGCAAGUUCCCGAAAGAUCAAGCAAUAACGGGUCAGUGGUUGACCCCGCCAUAUUAAAUAUGCUUGAGGACCUCACCAAAAGGAUCGAGUCAGGUGAGAAGAUGAUUGCAGCCAACAAUAAAAAGGUCGAGACCUACAAUUGAAGGGUGGAUCAGAUCCCGGGAGCACCCCCGGUCCUAAAAGGUUUGGAUUCGAAGAAGUUCAUACAGAGGUCGUUCCCCGAGGAAGCAUCCCCAAAGCCCAUUCCUAAAAAAUUCAAAAUGCCAGAACUCCAUAAGUAAAACGGUACCACCUACCCCAACGAACACGUUACUACCUAUACCUACGUAGUAAAAGGUAACGAUAUAAAGAAUGACGAGAUCGAGUCUGUAUUGCUGAAAAAAUUCGGAGAAACACUUUCGAAGGGAGCCAUGAUGUGGUAUCACAACUUGGCUCCCAACUCCAUAGAUUCAUUCACCAUGUUAGCGCACUCCUUCGUAAAGGCAUAUGCUGGAGCCAUCAAGGUAGCAACAAGGAAGUCUAACAUUUUCAAAAUUAAACAGAGAGAGAACGAGAUGCUGCGGGAAUUCGUGUCCCGCUUCCAGAUGGAACGGAUGGAGUUACCGCCAGUCUCCGAUGACUGGGCAGUACAGGCCUUCACCCAAGGCCUGAACGAACAAAGCUCGGUGACCUCAAAACAGCUGAAGCAGAACCUAAUCGAAUAUCCGGCCGUGACCUGGUCAGACGUCCACAACCGAUACCAGUCAAAGAUCAGGGAUGAGGACGACCAACUAGGAGCCCCUUCAGGCUCAGUGUACCCAAACAGACUCCUGGUAAAAGAAUCGAAACCAAACAAAUAAAGGUACCAGCCGUACCUCGAAGAUAGAAGAAAUGCCCCAAAGUGCAACCUACCUCGCAACGAUCGGAGGAUAGAUCGAGGACAUGACCCUCGAGGGUUCAUCAAGAGAACCAGGUCCGAUCGAAACAUAGCGCCGGCAAACGUGCCCCACUUUUCAGAAUACAACUUCUGCAUCGAUAUUUCAGACAUCGUGUUCCCUAUCAGCAAGAUCAGAGACGCCAAAUGGCCAAAACCAAUACAAUCAGACCUUUCGCAGAGAAAUUACAACUUAGUGUGCGAGUUCCACAACACGCAAGGUCACAGGACCGAGGAUUGCCAUCAACUACGAGAGGAAGUGGCUCGACUGCUCAACAAAGGGCACCUUCGGGAAUUUCUCAGUGAUCGGGCCAAAAAUCAAUUCCAAGAGAGGGAGGCAACCAAGAAAAACAAGGCAAACGAGCCACAACACGUUAUCCGCAUGAUCAUAGGGGCGCCGAUGCCCCGCAGGAACCCGUAAUAAGAAGAACAAAAAUAUCCAUCACCAGAGAAAAACGGACUCGGGGAUAUAUCCCCAAAGAUGCCCUCACAUUCAGCGAAGAGGACACCGAGGCCCUGUCUCAACCUCACAACGACGCCCUGGUAAUCUCCUUUCUUGUAAAUUUUUUUCAAAUAAAAUGUGUACUAGUGGAUCCAGGUAGCUCGGCCAAUAUCAUCAGGUCGAAGGUGAUAGAACAGCUCAGGCUACUCGAACAAAUCAUGCCAGCCACUCGGGUCCUCAAUGGAUUCAACAUGUCGAGCGAAACAAUGAAAGGAGAAAUCGUCCUUCCGGUUACUGUGGCCGGUACAACCCAAGACACAAAAUUCCAUGUCAUCAAAGGAGAUAUGAGGUACAAUGCCUUUUUUGGAUGGCCUUGGAUACACUACAUGAGAGCAGUACCAUCCACCCUCCACCAGGUGAUAAAAUUCCCGACAAAGGAGGGGAUUAAAACCGUCUACGGGGAACAACAUGCGGCAAGGGAAAUGUUCGCUAUACACGAUGAGGUACCAAUGCUCCUGCCUCCACCCCCGAAUACAACAACAAGCAAACCCGGUCUCGCCCCUAAUCGAACUUGACAAAACAAAAUAGAGAUCCACGCCGCAUCUCUGCCCCCGAGUAGUGACCAUAGACCAAUCCCAAGGCAUCACCGACAUAUCUCGUUUCAAGGUACGACCAUUCUUUUUUAUUAUUAUUUCAAAUUCGGAAUUAACCUUCGUGUAGGCACCCAACCAGAGCUGCCGGGACGAUAGUGCUAUUGCAAGACCUUGAGGCCCCAAAGGCGCACUCGUUGCACUCUUUUCCUUCGACCAAGUUUUUAUCCCAGAAGAAGGGUUUUUACUGGCAAGGUUUUUAACGAGACAACGUCUGCGAGCCACUUAAGGGGUAACUUCGCAAGAAAUAUUCAAGAUUAUCCCUGUGGCCGACCUUUUCCCCCGGAAAGCUGCCUGCUCGUAGGAGUUUUGAAAAACGCCAAAUGAGGUCUCCUGUAGGAAAAUGAUGUAUCGGAUCAAAUGACCGAUAUAAUCAGGCCCAGUCGGUAAAAACAUGUACUAUUGUACCGAGCAAUCAAAAAAUACCUUCUGUCAAAAAGAGGGGGGAAGUAACUCCUUCUCAGAGUAGGGUAACAAGUUCCUUCACCAGAAACGUCCCGAAAACUCGGGAACGGACGCCAAUGGUUCAAAACGCCCCGACGGCCUCUAGGUCGAGGCUCUGAAAUCACAAAAUAUUUUCAGGCAAGACAAACCUCCGAGCGACUUCGACCCGAUAUAGGUUGACUCAACACAACAAUAUAUAUUACAGAAAUGGAUCUAAGAAUGUCUUUCAGCAUCCCAUUCUCCAAGCGAGGAAAUCACAGUGUAUUCCCGGCAGGAACUUCUCCACCAAACACGUCCUGAUAUACUCGGAGACUUAGCAUCAGCAAUUCAGCACCCGCACAACCCCAGGGUCGGAACUCCAGGCUCAUAAAGCCUCUACAAGGCAACUUCAAAGCUCACGAAAAGCGGUCUUCACGCUUAAACAAAUUCGAUAACUCGGAGACUGCCAUUCAUCGCCAAUCGCCAUGCGUUGGAAAACCCAAAACUGUAAGACCGCUAGCGGGCAGACUCGGCGUAACCAGAUCUAUUAUACAUUGCAAAAACUAUAAGACCUCAACAGGCAUGACAAACUGUAAGACCUCAACAGGCAUGAAAAUCCCGAAGUCCCAAAAGGGCAUACCCUCGGUGUAGACGUCUAAACUAUCACUCGAAAUUAAAAAUGGCUCCGGCCAAACAUAUACGACUACGGUGAAAACAGCUGAUACAGCCAAAUUAACGCGACUUGGGAUGCCUGACCGUCACUAAACAAAAUCGCAGGCUACUGCUUCGAAUAUACUUCAGAAAGAACCGGUUAAAAUAGGCUUCCCUCAACAGGAAAAAACGAGCUAUGAACCUUCCGAGGUGCUCGAAACAUCGCCGAAACAAGAACUUGAAAUCGAGGUUCUUCUAGAAUCGAUGAUGGGUCAGGGAAAACUAUUUCAAAAGACCUUAAUGAGCGAAAAACAAAGCCUACAAAAAAGCCCACGGGCAAAAAUAACGUAAGAGCCAUUAUCGCCAGCUAAAAAAUUAACAACUUGAGGAUUAAAUUAAGCUCGAAUCGUAACCUGAUUCGGAGACCAGAUCAAAAAUAGUUAACUACGCAAGACUCCGGGCCAUAUAUUAAAAGGUCUCUACGACCAAAUAGCGUAAGAGCCAUUGUUGCCAGCUUGAAAAUUGACAACUUAAGGGUCAAUUAAAGCUCGAGUCGCUACGCGACUCAGAGACUGGACCCGAAAUAGUUAAAUUGUAACAUGCCUAAGGGCACAUCAUAAAUGCCACUGUCAACUAGCUGAGUGAGCCUCCGGACCACGCGCCUAUAAGGUCGCUUCGACCCGAAGCACAAAAGGCUAUCGCCGUCUGCCCAUGCAGGCAGGAAAGAAUCUAAGGGUCAAGUAAAGCUCAAAUCGCAACGCGACUCGGUGACUGGACCCGAAAUAGUUAAACUACAACAUGCCUAAGGGCACAACAUAAAUACAACUAUCAACCAGCCGAGUGAGCCUCCGGGCCACGCGCUUGUAAGGUUGCUUCGACCCGAAGUACAAAAGGCCAUCGUCGUCUGCCCAUGCAGGCAGGAAAGAACCUGAGGGUCAAUUAAAGCUCAAAUUGCAAUGCGACUCGCAGACUGGACCCAAAACAAGUAAACUACAAUAUGCCUAAGGGCACGGUAUAAAAGCGACCGCUGCCAGCUAAGUGAGCCUCUGAGCCACGCGCCUGUGAGGUCACUUCGACCUGGAACACAAAUGGUCAUCGUCGAUCGCCCAUGCAGGCAGGAAAGAUCUUAUGGGUCAAUUAAAGCUCUAGUCGCAACACGACUCGGAGACUGGACCCAGAAUGGCUGAAACAGCAAAAUACUUAAGGACGAGAAAGAAGAACAAUCACCAUUCGCCCGCACGGACAUAGGAGACCGAAGGACAGGCAAGCUCAAAUAAAGGCCUGACUCAGAGACUGAGCCUAAAAAAGCUGGGCAAAACAUAGAGGCCCCAACACCUGCUCAUGUCAAGGAUCGCGCUCGAAAGAUCCCGGGCCUGCUCGAUCAGUUCUGAACCCAUGGGGAUCCCGUCAAAACAAGGAAACUAGACCACCGGAUCAAAGGCGAUACAGGAAAGAUACAAAGGAGGAAAAAUUUUAAGAUUUCUCUCAUCUUAUAUAUGCGUGAAAGGUACGCUUUCCAUUUACAAGCAUGCUCUAUAAACAACAAAAUACAAAGUGGCGAAAUCUAUGCUCCACCCCUAAAGGGUUACGGCCUACUAGCCCAGCCUCGUUCUUCAUGGCAUCGGCAAUAAACAAACCAAGCAUCACGCCCGACUACCUUCGCUCAAGUGAAUCCUUCUAGAAGGACGGAACCCCUGGCAUGGGUCUCUUCAAGCGCCUGUCAUGAAGAUCUACGAUGAACUCAUCCCUCGAAGGCCCGAUCCGACCUGGCUCGAUCAUCGGCGACAAGUCACCACUCCUUCAUCAUCCUCGGUCCAGCUUAGUACUAUGCCAGUCCAAGAACCGGCUGUUCCCAAUCCAGACUUUGAGUAACAAAGCUACAUGUUAACAAAUUAUAUCCACUCAGAUCAAAGCUCGAAGCUCGAAGACUACAUAUAAUACUUCAGGUAUUCCUAGCUCGAUCGGCUCUGCCCCUAUGAUCGAAAAAGUGAAACGCCUAUCACAAGAAGACUCCUGCCUCACCAAAAGGCUUCUGUAAUGGAAGCUUCGAUAUACCCCAAAGUAUGGACCCUUGACGGAACAGCUCAAAGCCUAGGUCUAUAGGAGUCUUACGGAAGGAAAAUCCUAUAAGAAAGGAAAGACCCAGGAUACGGGGGAAUCAUGCUGAAACUUACCACGAAGUGACGGCAAACCUACUCAACGACCGAGCACCUUCCUGAUGGUCCAACCCUUGUUGGCCCAAAGGAACCGUUGUUCCGCAACCAAAGACUCCAGGAAUGCCAGGUUUGGAUGAUGCACUCUCCUCAAAAGCACGGGCAUGUCUUGCCCCGAUAAAAGCUCCUUCAUGAUUGUGAAACACACAUGUCAUCUAUCGCCGCGCCCGGCCUCUGCCGUGCCCCAAAUAAGCAGCCGCUAAGGGCACGACCCACCAGAAUCAUGAAAUCAUCGAACCCCGAAGACCCCCGGGAAGCGGAAGCAACCUCACGGCUACAUACAAAAAGGGCAGGAAUGAUUCAACACCAAUCAAAGGCACCGACCAUCGGCACCGCCUCCAGUUGUGAGGUAAUGCUCAACCCCGAAGACCUCCGCGUAGCAAGGCAACGCCCCAGCUAACCAACAAUGCCUUCACCAAAUCAGCAUGCGGCUUCAAAAAAGCCUCCACCAAAGAAGGCUAGUUUACGAACAAAUGAGCGUCCCUAACAAACGCUCGUGCAAAAUAGAUUCCGGGCAAUGACCAGGGCGGCCCGGAGCACGGCCAGGCCUCCAUUUAGAUAUUUCCUCCAGGAAGUCACCGGCGUCCCGAGACCGCGAGUCCUCAGGCAAGCCUUUUCUCAAAGGCCAUUAUAAAGCCCGAAGAUAUUAUCCAAGCUUUCACGCAGAGAAAGGAUCCCAGCGGCCCGAGGUUAUUGGCCUAAUUCGGGUCCGGUUCGAGAUGUCACGAAAGGCCUCACACAAAGCUAUUUCAUCAACCAAAGGCUGGGAAGAAUACUCAAGGCGAGUAUCACAAGCGAUUAAACAAGAUCAUGCACUCGAAGCUGCCAAAAAUAUAAAGAGAUAUAGCAAGUGUCGAAGGAAGAAAUGAAGAAAAUAUCUUUGUAUUUAUACAAGUAUUCGCUUACAACAACCCUCGAGGGGUCCUUACAUAUGAUUACAUUACAUAUGGUUACAAAGUCCCACAGGGGAUCCCUACUAAAAAGUGAAUAAGUACAAGUGAUAUGCAUACAGCAGGAGCCGAAGGACCUAACCUAUUCAUGCUGCGUCUCCAUCAUUAUCCUCCCAGGCAUAUGACUUCAAAGACAAUAUCUUCCCAGUCCGACCCCCUCGGGGGCCACAUCCCAAUACUCCCAGAAUGGCAUCUUCAAAAGGGAGGGUAUGAAAAAGGAAGGCGGGGGAGAAGAGCAAAAUGACGAAGGAGAAGCCGGAAGAACAUGAGAAGUGGCUGGGUGAAAAAUUCGGCUAGUACGAACUCCACCAGUACUGCCUUUUCGAAGCCACUUCUUGAGACGUCGCCUCGGCCUGGAAGGCAACAGCUGACAGGAACCGCCGACACACCCCCCUGGAAUCCAAAAGGGGUGUAACACGCCGAGCUGAGGGAGGAGGGUGAGCAGUGGUGUAUAAUCUGAGCCCCCUCUUGAGCACCAGUGCAUAAUCCAAAGUAUCCCCGGGGUAGGAGGAAAUCGGUCCUCCACCUCAUCACCCCGGGCCAGCGACAACAACAGUGACAACAACAACAACAACAACAACAGCAUCACAGUAGCACAACUUUGCCCAAUCAAAAGAAGAUCGAGGCUUGGGUCACAGUACACAUGGCGUAAUAUCUUGAGGCCACAGGCUCCAAGCAUGGCAAGAUGACAUAAAUUCAAGAUAGCGGGAAAGGAAGAAAAGAUGGAUAUCGCAGGAAAUUUGGAUAAAAGGCCAACCACGAAAGGUCCCAUUUAUAGGAAGAGCAAAGUAACUGACGGCGCCAUUACCGCCCUCGAAAAGCAUAGCAACAGGCGCAAUCAAUGCAUUCAUAGAAGCUGAACCGAUAGCAACGGAGAUCGAAGAAUCACAACAUUUCAGGUAAUCCUAGAGAAGCAGAAAGGCGGGGCGCCUCGACACUUGUAAUAACGGGACUGCACCGUCAGUGCGACGUCGUUAUGAGAGAUCGAGAAGUAGGGUGUCAAAAUCAUUUUUUAUCACUUCCCUCUAAGAAACGCGGAGACUAUCUCUGCAUGGUGAAAUCUGGGAGGCCGAUUUCUCCUCGACUGAAUACCUCGAAGGAUGAUACCGGAAGCCCGGGAUCUCGAGCCUAUCACGCCCCUCAAGUUCGGCUGGUAUCCUGCCAAGGAUAAUGUUGACUAAAGCCCCGAUGAACGCAGGGAUCUCCCAAGGAAUAUACCGGGGGUCGAUCAGGUCUAUUCAAGCGGCUCGACAUCAGCCCAUGCGUACAUCGCAAAGUUAGCCAGUUGUCUCGUCCUAUUUCUUUUAUCAAGCAACGUAUCUUUUACGAAGUUGGGGCUUCCUCCUUCCUAUAGAAGGGGAGUCGCUAACACCCUGUAAAGGCAGAGCUCCAACCAUUCUGCUCAAGUGCAAUAAUAUCUUCUCUCUUUUUCUCCUCUCUAACUUGCUUGCCCUCACUGGCUCGAAGCCAUUUAGCUUUAUUGCCUUCUUAUCUGUUCUUUGUUUAUCACUUGGUAUUAGCUCGAAGUCACCGUAAUAUCUAUCGUUCUCUUACUUGUUCUUCGUUAUAUAACCUAGUAGUGGCCAUAAAGAGCCUUGUUUAAUUAUAUCCUCAACUGUUAUCCCAUCCCCGACUAUCCCCGAUACCUCGGACUCGACCCUGUCACCGACCUCGAGGUCCCUCAUCAAUCGGACCUACAUCCGGGCAGCAGGCCCUUCGGUUCGAUUACUAUCUCGUUCUAGCUUACAUUUCAUCAUUAAACUCUGUAUUAUUAGCAUCAACUGCUCUAACAACUAGCUCGAAAAUAGAUUAUGUUUUUUUAGAAUCCCGUCUACAAAUUUAAUUGUUGUUACCAUUUUCACGGUAAACAUGAACCUUUUUAUUUCUUUUAUAGAACAAAAGAAUCUAGAGAGUUGGUGAAAAGUCGCCCUCCCCUCUCUCACUUUUUCUUUUUCUUUUCUGGCCUUUCUCAUUUUAAUUAAAAAAUUAUUUAAUUUAUUUAUAAAUGUACACGAUUUGUAGGAAAUAUUUUUGGUGCGCCUUGGUUAUACGAGUUGUGCAUUUUUUUAACUCAUUUGUAAAUGCUCACAUAAUGCCUUACUUUCUAAAAAGACAUGAAAAAAUAACUAUUUACUCUUCACGAAACUUAUUUUUGGACGGGAAAAUCAUUGUCUUGCUAAUGACCCUUGUUUAUCACGGUCUCUUCGACGGUUCAAAACUUGUUUUCAUUUAUAAUUGGUAUUGUAUAUGAUAAAAAUCGGGUCCAUCUGAUUUUGCUAAUCGAAACAAAGGAGCUGCAUCAGGGUAAUUUUGUAAUGAAUCAGAUCCGAGCUCGAAAACGAGGCAAUCGAGUCCAAAAGAUCAAAAUGUCCGUCGAGACCGAGGCUAGCGACAAUCGAGACUAAGUAAGACCAGCUUCGAGUGGAAUGCAAUAACGGAAAAAUGAGAUAUCCGUAACCGAUCGGAGAUCACGGUGGAAAUCUCUGAGCAGAUCUAAUCAAGGGCGGUUAUUUGUAUCAAUCAUGGGAUUUACUUCCGUAAUUAGAAUUGUACCACAAUUAGGAUCACUCUAGUAUAUAAAGAGGGGUCCUCGUCAUUUGUAGACGCCUUACAUUCAUACUGAUCAAAAUAAUAUAUUAUUUCUUUAUUGUCCAUUAAUUUAUUGUUCUUUAACUGUUAUUGCUUUACAACUCUCGAGGGUUCAUUAGCUCGAGAACGCUGUUCAAACACUGGUUUGUUUUAUAUUCUUGUCAAUUCUAUCACUUAUCUCUAGAUUAAUCGGUUGGUAUUAAGUGAAAUUAUGUAUCCUUAAAACCACAUUACAAGUUUAAUUGUUGCUCGAUAUUUAGGGUAAACAGAUAUUUUAAGGGGAAGAAACUAUCAAAUCAUUUCAAAGUUUAUCAUUAUCUCUAGUAUCAUACAUAUUUAAGUCGUCUUAUAAUAAUACAAAUAACUCUUUUAUCUUCUUUUUCCUUGGAACAGGUUGUGAGUUCGAGUCUCCCCAAGAGCAAGGUGAGAAGUUCUUGGAAGGAAGAAUGUCGGGGGUCUAUUUGAAAACAGUCUCUCUACCCUAGGGUAGGGGUAAGGUCUGCGUACACACUACCCUCCCUAGACCCCAGUAAGUGAAAUUAUUAUGGGUUGUUGUUGUUGUUGUUGUAUCCUACAACAUGCAACAAAAGGACUUUCGAACCAAAAGGAUUAAAAAACAGGUCAUGUGCUGAUCGAGCACAAAACUAUCAUUGUCCAAAAUCUGAUAGACUUGGAGCCC
RNAcentral lists this long non-coding RNA (32478 nucleotides) under Nicotiana tabacum (common tobacco). Its description in RNAcentral is "long non-coding RNA (NTAB_LNC017492)". Lineage: Eukaryota; Viridiplantae; Streptophyta; Magnoliopsida; Solanales; Solanaceae. The record is from RNAcentral.